UCGGCCGGCGGAGCGGCGGCAUGCGGCGGGCUCGGGCCGCGGCGCUGGCGGCGCUGCUUGUGGUGCUGAUCGCAGGGACUGCGGACACAGACCAAGUGCAGCAGACGCCGUGGGCAGAGACCACGGAGGGCAUCGGCAUCAACAUCACUUGCCAGAACCCCAAAACUGCUGCCGACUCUACCCACUGGUAUCGCCAAUUCCCACGCCAAGCACCCAAGCUGAUAGCAACGGCUGUCAUGGGCACAAAACCGGUGCUGGAGCCAAAGGGGAGUCUGACGGUGUCGGCAGAUCGGCGUUCGAGCUCGCUGUGGCUCGCUGAGCCCCGGCGCGGGGACGCGGCCGUGUAUUACUGCGCGCUGGGGGCCACGGGCAGAGGAGCCGGGGCUGCGGCCGGGCACGAACCGCCGCGGGCGGGGCCGGGCGGGGCCAGCAGGGGGCGCUGCCGCUCCGCCCGCCGGGGCCGCCGAGCCCCGCUCGUCCCGGGCUGCCGGGGCAGAGCCGCCACCAGAACCGACACCGGCACCAGAACCGACACCGACACCGAUACUAGCACCGAUACUCACUCCGGCACCCACUGA
Molecule: non-coding RNA, 578 nt
Organism: Zonotrichia leucophrys gambelii
Lineage: Eukaryota; Metazoa; Chordata; Aves; Passeriformes; Passerellidae
Source: the annotation of a RefSeq genome assembly